RNAcentral lists this ribosomal RNA (456 nucleotides) under Coolia palmyrensis. RNAcentral's name for it is "LSU rRNA". It matches the Rfam family "Eukaryotic large subunit ribosomal RNA", at positions 140 to 596 of the family's 3401-position model. The record is from RNAcentral. Lineage: Eukaryota; Dinophyceae; Peridiniales; Ostreopsidaceae.
GAAUUGUAAUUUCGAAAUGCAUUGCUAACAAAAAUGCAAAUGGUGGUUUAUUGGAAAGAACAUGACAAAGGGUGAGAAUCCCAUGUGUCAUUUGUGUUUUUUGUGUACGGUGUGCAUUUAUUGAAUCACAUUCUUUGACAAUGGAAUGUAAAUUGGGUGGUAAAUUUCAUCUAAAGUUGAAUAUGUUGUUGAAACUUAUAGAAAACAAUUACCAUGAGGGAAAUAUGAAAAGGAUUUUGAAAAGAAAAUUAAAAGAGUUUGCAAUUGCUAAAUUGAUAAGCAAACAAAACAUAUUUGUGUGCAAGAUUGUUGUAAUCAUUUGUUGUCAAACACAUGUGUUACAAUGGUUUUUGUGUAUUUUGCCAAUAUCCAAAUUUGGAAUGAUCACCCUUGGGUAUGAUUGGAAUUUGGUUUGCUAGCCAAGGAAUGUAUCUUGAAAAGAUCAUCCUCAGUUUG